GAUGAAGAACGUAGCGAAAUGCGAUAAAUAAUGUGAAUUGCAGAAUUCAGUGAAUCAUCGAAUCUUUGAACGCACCUUGCGCCCUUUGGCCAUUCCGAAGGGCAUGCCUGUUUGAGUAUCAUGAACACCUCAACUCUUCAUGGUUUUCCGUGAUGAGCUUGGACUUUGGGGGUCUUGCUGGCCUAUGGUCAGCUCCUCUAAAAUAAAUCAGCUUGCCAGUGUUUGGUGGGUAUCACAGGUGUGAUAACUAUCUACGCUUGUGGUUUUCCACCAGGUAACCUUCAGCAGUGGAGGUUCGCUGGAGCUCACAGAUGUGUCUCUCCUCAGUGAGGACAGCUCUUUGAAUGUUUGAUCUCAAAUCAGGUAGGACUACCCGCUGAACUUAAGCAUAUCAAUAAGCGGAGGA
This 406-nucleotide unclassified non-coding RNA is filed under the name soil metagenome. RNAcentral's name for it is "partial contains 5.8S ribosomal RNA, internal transcribed spacer 2, and large subunit ribosomal RNA". The stretch from base 1 to 121 matches the Rfam family "5.8S ribosomal RNA", at positions 35 to 154 of the family's 154-position model. The record is from RNAcentral.